CAGAUGUGGGUCUCCAUCCCAGGACCCUGGGAUCAUGACCUGAGCCGAAGGUAGUUGCCCAACCAACCAAGCCACCCAGGCGCCCUAAAACUUACAGGUCUUAUAAACUUGACCCACACUGUAUGACAACAGUACUGCUGAGUGACAAAAUGGAGCAUCACAUUGAGAGCACCGUGGACCAGCCCAGACAUGCCUAAUAGGGCAGGUCAAAAACAGUGUAAGUUACUCUGCUUCUUCCAGAUUAAUUUGGAACAGAAGAGAACAUGAAAGGAGGUGUAAUAGUUGUUUGUUCAAGCUUUUAACUACAAUGUAAAAGGACCAGUGGUUUUACUAUUAUUUUUCCAUUUGGCUUCCUGGCACCUUGAAUUCAAUCAGUGUCCUGCUGUUCAGAGGUAUUUUGAAGUGUGCCAAGUCUUAAUUGAAGUGGAAGUGCCUGAAACCGAGUUAAUACCAUGAGCAACAGGGAGUCGAAUUUAUGGAGAGCCUACAGUCUCCAAUGAUGAGGCGCUCCUCCAAAUCUUGUGACCAUGACGAGAAUUGUCAUCUUUUUUCCCCUCUGGGUCCGCCAGCCUCUGGCUGAGUCCUUAGGGACAGAGCUCCCUCUGCUGGCUCGGGAGCUGAAGCCUUCUGGAUCUUGAACAAAAGCCCUUCUUGCGGUGACAUCAACUUCAAAUAAUUGUCCUCAUAAUCAUCUAGAAAAACCCAUUUAUGACUGGGAGAGAGAGCACGUCAGUGCCUGA
Lontra canadensis (Northern American river otter) is the source of this 740-nucleotide long non-coding RNA. RefSeq lists it as uncharacterized. Lineage: Eukaryota; Metazoa; Chordata; Mammalia; Carnivora; Mustelidae. The transcript is spliced from 3 exons. The record is from RefSeq and is a predicted model, not a curated record.